Molecule: long non-coding RNA, 249 nt
Filed under: Malus domestica (apple)
Lineage: Eukaryota; Viridiplantae; Streptophyta; Magnoliopsida; Rosales; Rosaceae
Description: long non-coding RNA (MDOM_LNC011048)
Source: RNAcentral
GAUAAAGGAGGCCAUGACGAAUGGUUUGGAGGAAUGCCAAGAAAAGAACUUUCUGGGUUAAAGGUUGAAGACGAAAAUCUGGAAGGAAGAUAUGCACUGGAGAGCAAUGGCAAGAAAUUCAGAAAAUUUGAAAGCGUAGAAGUACAAAUGAGAGGAUUUCGGUAUUUAUAGGAUGAUGGAGGGAAGGACAAUCGUUCGAAAUUCAAAAUGAAGGGUAAAAUCGACCGAGAAAUUCGCUAAUCAUUAUGA